RNAcentral lists this transfer RNA (64 nucleotides) under Planctomycetes bacterium B3_Pla. RNAcentral's name for it is "tRNA-Arg". It matches the Rfam family "tRNA", at positions 9 to 63 of the family's 71-position model. From Rfam's summary of the family: Transfer RNA (tRNA) molecules are approximately 80 nucleotides in length. Their secondary structure includes four short double-helical elements and three loops (D, anti-codon, and T loops). Further hydrogen bonds mediate the characteristic L-shaped molecular structure. tRNAs have two regions of fundamental functional importance: the anti-codon, which is responsible for specific mRNA codon recognition, and the 3' end, to which the tRNAs corresponding amino acid is attached (by aminoacyl-tRNA synthetases). tRNAs cope with the degeneracy of the genetic code in two manners: having more than one tRNA (with a specific anti-codon) for a particular amino acid; and 'wobble' base-pairing, i.e. permitting non-standard base-pairing at the 3rd anti-codon position. Lineage: Bacteria; Pseudomonadati; Planctomycetota. The record is from RNAcentral.
GGCUUAGCGUUUUGGUGCAACGGAUUUCUAAUCCGUAGGUCGCAGGUUCGAGUCCUGCCGGGCG